RNAcentral lists this ribosomal RNA (254 nucleotides) under uncultured bacterium. RNAcentral's name for it is "partial 16S ribosomal RNA". It matches the Rfam family "Bacterial small subunit ribosomal RNA", at positions 524 to 776 of the family's 1533-position model. The record is from RNAcentral.
UACGUAGGGUCCGAGCGUUGUCCGGAAUUAUUGGGCGUAAAGAGCUCGUAGGCGGUCUGUCGCGUCGGUCGUGAAAACUUGGGGCUUAACCCUGAGCUUGCGGUCGAUACGGGCAUGACUGGAGUUCGGCAGGGGAGACUGGAAUUCCUGGCGUAGCGGUGAAAUGCGCAGAUAUCAGGAGGAACACCGGUGGCGAAGGCGGGUCUCUGGGCCGUAACUGACGCUGAGGAGCGAAAGCGUGGGGAGCGAACAGG